RNAcentral lists this ribosomal RNA (401 nucleotides) under uncultured bacterium. RNAcentral's name for it is "bacterial SSU rRNA". It matches the Rfam family "Bacterial small subunit ribosomal RNA", at positions 975 to 1375 of the family's 1533-position model. The record is from RNAcentral.
CAGCCCUUGACAUCCUCUGACAACCCUAGAGAUAGGGCUUUCGUAGCAAUACGACAGAGAGACAGGUGCUGCAUGGCUGUCGUCAGCUCGUGUGGUGACAUGUUGGGUUAAGUCCCGCAACGAGCGCAACCCUUGUCCUUAGUUGCCAGCAUUCAGUUGGGCUCUCUAAGGAGACUGCCGUGGUGAACACGGAGGAAGGUGGGGAUGACGUCAAGUCCUCAUGGCCUUUAUAUCCAGGGCGACACACGUGAUACAAUGGAUGGUACAGAGGGAAGCCAAAGCGCAAGCUGGAGCCAAUCUCAAAAAGCCAUUCUCAGUUCGGAUUGGAGUCUGCAACUCGACUCCAUGAAGUUGGAAUCGCUAGUAAUCGCGGAUCAGCACGCCGCGGUGAAUACGUUCCC